Molecule: unclassified non-coding RNA, 284 nt
Filed under: plant metagenome
Description: partial contains small subunit ribosomal RNA, internal transcribed spacer 1, and 5.8S ribosomal RNA
Rfam family: Eukaryotic small subunit ribosomal RNA (bases 1-53)
Source: RNAcentral
GGAAGUAAAAGUCGAACAAGGUUUCCGUAGGUGAACCUGCGGAAGGAUCAUUAUUGUAUAACCGAGGUGCGAGGGCUGUCGCUGACCCGAAAGGUCGUGCACGCCCGAGUGCCCUCACACACAUCCAUCUCACCCCUAUGUGCACCACCGCGUGGGUCCCCCUUUGGCUUGUUCGGAGGGGGGCUUACGUUUUCACACAAACUUUGUAUGCAGUGUAGAAUGUAUUUUUUGUUUUUGCGAUCACGCAACCAAUACAACUUUCAACAACGGAUCUCUUGGCUCUC